RNAcentral lists this ribosomal RNA (301 nucleotides) under uncultured bacterium. RNAcentral's name for it is "partial 16S ribosomal RNA". It matches the Rfam family "Bacterial small subunit ribosomal RNA", at positions 509 to 807 of the family's 1533-position model. The record is from RNAcentral.
CAGCCGCCGCGGUAAUGCGUAGGUGGCAAGCGUUGUCCGGAAUUAUUGGGCGUAAAGGGCUCGCAGGCGGUUUCUUAAGUCUGAUGUGAAAGCCCCCGGCUCAACCGGGGAGGGUCAUUGGAAACUGGGAAACUUGAGUGCAGAAGAGGAGAGUGGAAUUCCACGUGUAGCGGUUAAAUGCGUAGAGAUGUGGAGGAACACCAGUGGCGAAGGCGACUCUCUGGUCUGUAACUGACGCUGAGGAGCGAAAGCGUGGGGAGCGAACAGGAUUAGAUACCCGCGUAGUCCCUGUCUCUUAUAC